This 141-nucleotide ribosomal RNA is filed under the name Podocarpus totara. Lineage: Eukaryota; Viridiplantae; Streptophyta; Pinopsida; Araucariales; Podocarpaceae. The record is from RNAcentral.
AUUCUGGUGUCCCAGGCGUAAAGGAACCACACCAAUCCAUUCCGAACUUGGUGGUUAAACUCUACUGCGGUGACGAUACUGUAGGGGAGGCCCUGCGGAAAAAUAGCUCGAUGCCAGGAUAAUAAAAAGCUUAUGCCUCUU